GACGAACGCUGGCGGCGUGCCUAAUACAUGCAAGUAGAACGCUGAAGGAGGAGCUUGCUCUUCUGGAUGAGUUGCGAACGGGUGAGUAACGCGUAGGUAACCUGCCUGGUAGCGGGGGAUAACUAUUGGAAACGAUAGCUAAUACCGCAUAACAGUAGAUGUUGCAUGACAUUUGCUUAAAAGGUGCAAUUGCACCACUACCAGAUGGACCUGCGUUGUAUUAGCUAGUUGGUGGGGUAACGGCUCACCAAGGCGACGAUACAUAGCCGACCUGAGAGGGCGAUCGGCCACACUGGGACUGAGACACGGCCCAGACUCCUACGGGAGGCAGCAGUAGGGAAUCUUCGGCAAGGGACGGAAGUCUGACCGAGCAACGCCGCGUGAGUGAAGAAGGUUUUCGGAUCGUAAAGCUCUGUUGUAAGAGAAGAACGAGUGUGAGAGUGGAAAGUUCACACUGUGACGGUAUCUUACCAGAAAGGGACGGCUAACUACGUG
RNAcentral lists this ribosomal RNA (495 nucleotides) under uncultured bacterium. RNAcentral describes it as "partial 16S ribosomal RNA". It matches the Rfam family "Bacterial small subunit ribosomal RNA", at positions 28 to 507 of the family's 1533-position model. The record is from RNAcentral.